AGCGUAUAAGUCCACAGUGACAUUGAACUACAAAGAAGCGAACGAGUUUUAUUGAAUCUGCAAUGGUCGAGAGGUUAAAGAUUUUUGCCUUGAGUUCAGGAGGACCGGGUUCGAUUCUCCAUCAAUGAGCGUUUGUUUCGUAAAUGAUGGGCAGACCGGGCCUCGAACCCAGAUUGUCUGGUCACAAGCGCAGAAUUAUAUUGUUCGGCCACAUUGCCAUGAAAAAUUCGCGAUUUUAUUGUGUAUUUAAAGUACACGUUUAAAGUAACUUACAAAUACAGAUAAAUGGGCCUGCAUGCUAAGAUACCAAUUGGUCUUGUGGUUAAAAGUUUUGCCUUAAAUUCAGGAGAAACAAGUUCGAAUCCCACUCAUGACUGUGUAUUAUAUAAAUGUUAAAUAGACCGAGACUCGAACCCAAAUCUCCCGAUUACCAGAUCAGAUAAUAUAUCAUUUGGCUGAAGUGCCGUGAAAAUGUCCAUGUUCUUACAUGUAUUUCAGGUGUACAGCUCGACAGGUACAAAUGCACAAGUGUUAGUGUGAGUAAAAAAAUCAACCAUGUACAGUUAGGCUUUUUUUUUUUUUUUUAGUUAAAAAAUGACCAUGUAUGAGGCUUUUAUUUUUUUGAAAAAAACCCCCAAAAAAACACGUAUAAUAAGGCUUGUCUUUUAAAUUACCUUGUAAGAUAAGGUUUUAAGAAAAACGAUUGUAUAGUAAGGCUUUUUCUAAAGUGUAUUGUAAGGCUUUUUUUUAAUCGACAGUGUAUAGUGAUGGUUUUUAGAAAAAAACGAGUGUAUCGUAAGACUAAAACGACAGUGUAUUGUAAUGUUUGACAAAUUUAUUCCAGCAUGUGAUGCAUUCACUGAUGCGGUCAGUGCAUGUUCUUCCUGCUCUUGUCCACCAGGUGGUGCUGCAGUACCGGGUUCCUGCAGCAUGGAUUUACUGGCGUAGUAGCGCUCCUCGCCAAGUUGUGUGCAGGUGUGUCCAUCCUGGAGAAUCUUGACAGCAUUUCAUGUGCCGUCUGAUAUUUCAAAUGUACGAACGAUCACCUGCUUCAGUUUCCAGUCUAAAGU
Syngnathus acus (greater pipefish) is the source of this 1070-nucleotide long non-coding RNA. RefSeq lists it as uncharacterized. The record is from RefSeq and is a predicted model, not a curated record. The transcript is spliced from 2 exons. NCBI's taxonomy places the organism in Eukaryota, Metazoa, Chordata, Actinopteri, Syngnathiformes, Syngnathidae.